This 497-nucleotide ribosomal RNA is filed under the name uncultured bacterium. RNAcentral's name for it is "partial 16S ribosomal RNA". It matches the Rfam family "Bacterial small subunit ribosomal RNA", at positions 28 to 507 of the family's 1533-position model. The record is from RNAcentral.
GAUGAACGCUGGCGGCGUGCCUAAUACAUGCAAGUCGAGCGAACGGACGAGAAGUUUGCUUCUCUGAUGUUAGCGGCGGACGUGUGAGUAACACGUGGAUAACCUACCUAUAAGACUGGGAUAAGUUCGGGAAACCGGAGCUAAUACCGGAUAAUAUUUAGAACCGCAUGGUUCAAAAGUAAAAGACGGUCUUGCUGUCUCUGAUAGAUGGAUCCGCGCUGCAUUAGAUAGUUGGUAAGGUAACGGCCUACCAAGGCAACGAUGCAUAGCCGACCUGAGAGGGUGAUCGGCCACCCGGGAACUGGAACGCGGUCCAGAGGACUAAGGGAGGGCGCAGUAGGGAAUCUUACGCAAUGGGCGAGAGCAUGACGGAGCAACGCCGAGUGAGUGGUGGAGGUGUUCGGAUCGUAAAACUCUGUUAUGAGUGAAGAACAUAUGUGUAAGUAACUGUGCACAUCGUGACGGUACCUAAUCAGAAAGCCACGGCUAACUACGUG